Molecule: ribosomal RNA, 376 nt
Filed under: uncultured bacterium
Lineage: Bacteria
Description: bacterial SSU rRNA
Rfam family: Bacterial small subunit ribosomal RNA
Source: RNAcentral
UAAUACGGAGGGUGCAAGCGUUAAUCGGAAUUACUGGGCGUAAAGCGCACGCAGGCGGUCAAUUAAGUUGGAUGUGAAAUCCCCGGGCUUAACCUGGGAACUGCAUUCAAAACUGAUUGGCUAGAGUCUUGUAGAGGGGGGUAGAAUUCCAGGUGUAGCGGUGAAAUGCGUAGAGAUCUGGAGGAAUACCGGUGGCGAAGGCGGCCCCCUGGACAAAGACUGACGCUCAGGUGCGAAAGCGUGGGGAGCAAACAGGAUUAGAUACCCUGGUAGUCCACGCUGUAAACGAUGUCGACUUGGAGGUUGUGGCCUUGAGCCGUGGCUUCCGGAGCUAACGCGUUAAGUCGACCGCCUGGGGAGUACGGCCGCAAGGUUA